Molecule: ribosomal RNA, 253 nt
Filed under: uncultured bacterium
Lineage: Bacteria
Description: partial 16S ribosomal RNA
Rfam family: Bacterial small subunit ribosomal RNA
Source: RNAcentral
UACAGAGGGGGCAAGCGUUAUUCGGAAUUAUUGGGCGUAAAGGGCGCGUAGGCGGCCUGACAAGUGGAAGGUGAAAUCCCUCGGCUUAACCGAGGAACUGCCCUCCAAACUGUCUGGCUUGAGACCGGGAGAGGUGAGUGGAAUUCCCAGUGUAGCGGUGAAAUGCGCAGAUAUCAGGAAGAACACCCGUGGCGAAAGCGGCUCUCUGGAACGGUACUGACGCUGAGACGCGAAAGCGUGGGGAGCGAACAGG